AAAGACCUCAACUCAGGCAAGACUACCCGCUGAACUUAAGCAUAUCAGUAAGCGGAGGAAAAGAAAACAACUGUGAUUCCCUUAGUAACGGCGAGUGAAGCGGGAAAAGCCCAUCGUUGAAUCUCCCUGGACCUAGUUCGGGGCGAGUUGUAACGGUAUGGAUUGGCAUUCUAGCGCCAACUGCUAACCAAAGUCCUUCGGAUUGAGGCGCCAGAGAGGGUGACAGCCCCGUAGAUGGCUAGCAGGAAGCGUGCAUGUUGUCAACUCCUAGAGUCGGGUUGUUUGGGAUUGCAACCUAAAGCAGGUGGUAAACUCCAUCUAAGGCUAAAUAUAGACACGAAACCGAUAGCGAACAAGUACCGUGAGGGAAAGUUGAAAAGAACCCUGAAAAGAGAGUUAAAAGUACGUGAAACCGCUAACGGGGAAGCGGAAGGCAGUGUCGAGACCGCGUCUAGUGGAUGUUUGUCGCGUUUCCUUGGAAAUUGUGGCAAGUGUCAGCUGGGCAUGGUGCGUCAGGCCUGCUGGUGAACAAGUGGAAGCAAGACAUGGCGCUCGCAACCUCCUAGGAGGAUGCGGGUGCGGUCUAGUGAAAGCUUGUAUGCUGGCUUGUGAGUGAAAAGCGUUGUUAGCUCAAAUUUUGGGCUGGUUGAUGCAGUCAGGCGCUGCGCCUUGUCUAAAGUUUGGACAAGACGUAGUUGUUUGGCUGGUCGACAAGCAGUGCUAGAUCCUGACGAGAUACCUAACUUUCCGACCCGUCUUGAAACACGGACCAAGGAGGCAGAGACUGGAGCGAGUUAGAGGGUGGAAAACCCGACGGCGUAGUGAAAGCAAAAGGUGGGAUCUGUUUGCCCCGGCAAGCAGCGCACCACCGGCCAGCUUCUUUGAAGUUGAGUUGGAGCUCCAGUCGCUGGACCCGAAAGAUGGUGAACUAUGCGUGAGCAGGGCGAAGCCAGAGGAAACUCUGGUGGAGGCUCGAAGCGAUUCUGACGUGCAAAUCGAUCGUUUGACUUGCGUGUGGGGGCGAAAGACUAAUCGAACCAUCUAGUAGCUGGUUCCCUUCGAAAUAUCCCUCAGGAUCGCUGAGACAGGUGGGAGACAGUUUCAUCGGGUAGAGCGAAUGAUUAGAGGACUCGGGGACAUAUUACUCUCGACCUAUUCUCAAACUACCAACCGGUGAGYCAAUUGAUUACUUGUGUGAAUCAGUUGAUUGAAUGUCUCUGUCUCAAGUGGGCCAUUUUUGGUAAGCAGAACUGGCGAUGCGGGAUGAACCGAGAGCUGAGCUAAGGUGCCUAAGAGCACGUCAAUAGAUACCACAAAAGGAGUCGGUCGAUGAAGACAGCAGGACGGUGGCCCUGAAAGUAGGCAUCCGCUAAGGAGUGUCUAAUAACUCACCUGCCGAAUCGACGGGCCCUGAAAAUGGAUGGCGCUGAAGCGUGCCACCGAUGCUCAGCCUUUACCUCGAGAAAUGCAGGUAAGGGGUAGAAGGGCGCGACGGUAGCAAUAAAGCGCAAAGUGUGAACUUGCGUGGAGCUGCCGCCGGUGUAGAUCUUGGUGGUAGUAGCAACUAUAAAAGUGAGUAAAAACCUUUUAGGCCGAAGUGGAGAAGGGUUCCACGUGAACAGCAGUUGGACGUGGGUUAGUCGGUCCUAAGCGGUUGCCUAARGGCUAUUUCAACGCAGACWUUUGUCUGAGUUCCGCGAAAGGGAAUCAGGUUAAUAUUCCUGAACUGGGCGCUGGAGACGCGGUCCUUGACGCAAGGAGAGGGCCGCUUAGCGGUAACGCAAGCAAUAUCGGAGACGCUGAUGUCUGUGGCGGGGAGAAUUAUCUUUUCUGCAUAACAAGUAAACACCUUGGAAUUGAGUCGCUCAGAGAUAAGGUGCAACGCUUGGAAGAGCUUCGCUAUUAUUGCGGAGCCCGCACUGCAGGGAUCAGCCCUUGAAAAUCCGAUGGAGUGGUUAAAUUUCGCGCCUAUCCGUACCGAAUCCGCAUCAGGU
This 1994-nucleotide ribosomal RNA is filed under the name Unicapsula andersenae. RNAcentral's name for it is "partial 28S ribosomal RNA". It matches the Rfam family "Eukaryotic large subunit ribosomal RNA", at positions 1 to 1865 of the family's 3401-position model. Lineage: Eukaryota; Metazoa; Cnidaria; Myxozoa; Multivalvulida; Trilosporidae. The record is from RNAcentral.